RNAcentral lists this long non-coding RNA (577 nucleotides) under Ictidomys tridecemlineatus (thirteen-lined ground squirrel). Its description in RNAcentral is "lncRNA (ENSSTOG00000034980.1)". The record is from RNAcentral. Lineage: Eukaryota; Metazoa; Chordata; Mammalia; Rodentia; Sciuridae.
GAAAUCUUCACCACGGAAGAGGAGCCCAGACUCCGGGGAUCUCCUGGAUGAAUCACAAUUGAGUUACUGGACCAGCAUGAAGGGCCAGAGGCAAAGUUCACCCAACAUUUGGCAGUUUAUGUAUCUCCAGGGCCCUCCUGGUUUCACUGCUUUUAGUGAGCUCUGAAAUCCAAUAUUCUUUGCUCGGCUCCUCUGAAUUGUGAAUCUUCAAUGCUUUGCAGAUGCCUCCCUUCUCACCUGGAUCACCUUGCUUCCUUCAAGAAAAAAGGGGUGGAAAGAGCCCACAGGAACUGAAAAGCAUUUGAAACUAAAGAGGCCAAGUAACAAAGAGCUUGAAGACAAGCACAGUUCUCAGGCCCUGGAUAGAGGCUGGCAGCGUCAGACCGACAGAACCAAGACGUCGGGUCGGAGGGGCAACGCUUGUGGCUGCGGAGCACAGGAUAUGAAUCAGAGAGAAAGAAGCGAAGUCUUGUCCCAGGAAGAACGGGAAGGACUGGCAGAGGAGUUUUCACUGACUUGUCUUUGGAAAAAGUGGAGAAGAGCCGGUAAACUUGGUUUCCUCACUCCUGCUCAUUAG